This 253-nucleotide ribosomal RNA is filed under the name uncultured bacterium. RNAcentral describes it as "partial 16S ribosomal RNA". It matches the Rfam family "Bacterial small subunit ribosomal RNA", at positions 524 to 776 of the family's 1533-position model. The record is from RNAcentral.
UACGUAGGAUCCAAGCGUUGUCCGGAUUUAUUGGGUUUAAAGGGUGCGCAGGCGGCUCAAUAAGUCAGUGGUGAAAGCCGGCAGCUUAACUGUCGAAUUGCCAUUGAUACUGUUGAGCUUGAGUAUAGUUGAGGUUGGCGGAAUGUAUCAUGUAGCGGUGAAAUGCUUAGAUAUGAUACAGAACACCGAUUGCGAAGGCAGCUGACUAAGCUAUUACUGACGCUCAUGCACGAAAGCGUGGGGAUCAAACAGG